AAGGUCGUAACCAAGGUCUCCGUUGGUGAACCCAGCGGAGGGAUCAUUACCGAGUUUACAACUCCCAAAUCCCCUUGUGAAUCAUACCCAAGUUGUUUGCCCUUCGGCCGGAUUCAGCCCCAGCUCCCCGGGUUAAAACCGGGAACGGGCCCGCCGAGGACCCCCUUAAAUCUCUGUUUCUAUAUGUAACCUUCCUGAGUAAAAUCCAUAAAGUAAUUCAAAAG
This 224-nucleotide unclassified non-coding RNA is filed under the name plant metagenome. RNAcentral describes it as "partial contains small subunit ribosomal RNA and internal transcribed spacer 1". The record is from RNAcentral.